AACAGGAUUAGAUACCCUGGUAGUCCACGCCGUAAACGAUGUCGACCAGCCGUUGGGUGCCUAGAGCACUUUGUGGCGAAGUUAACGCGAUAAGUCGACCGCCUGGGGAGUACGGCCGCAAGGUUAAAACUCAAAUGAAUUGACGGGGGCCCGCACAAGCGGUGGAGCAUGUGGUUUAAUUCGAUGCAACGCGAAGAACCUUACCUACCCUUGACAUCUACAGAAGCCGGAAGAGAUUCUGGUGUGCCUUCGGGAACUGUAAGACAGGUGCUGCAUGGCUGUCGUCAGCUCGUGUUGUGAAAUGUUGGGUUAAGUCCCGUAACGAGCGCAACCCUUGUCCUUAUUUGCCAGCGAGUAAUGUCGGGAACUCUAAGGAGACUGCCGGUGACAAACCGGAGGAAGGUGGGGACGGCGUCAAGUCAUCAUGGCCCUUACGGGUAGGGCUACACACGUGCUACAAUGGCCGGUACAAAGGGCUGCGAGCUCGCGAGAGUCAGCGAAUCCCUUAAAGCCGGUCUCAGUCCGGAUCGGAGUCUGCAACUCGACUCCGUGAAGUCGGAAUCGCUAGUAAUCGUGAAUCAGAAUGUCACGGUGAAUACGUUCCCGGGCCUUGUACACACCGCCCGUCACACCAUGGGAGUGGACUGCACCAGAAGUGGUUAGCCUAACGCAAGAGGGCGAUCACCACGGUGUGGUUCAUGACUGGGGUGAAGUCGUAACAAGGUAACC
This 729-nucleotide ribosomal RNA is filed under the name uncultured bacterium. RNAcentral describes it as "bacterial SSU rRNA". It matches the Rfam family "Bacterial small subunit ribosomal RNA", at positions 771 to 1501 of the family's 1533-position model. The record is from RNAcentral.